UACGUAGGGUGCAAACGUUGUUCGGAAUUACUGGGCGUAAAGCGUGUGUAGGCUGCUCCGAUAGUCGGAUGUGGAAGCCCUGGGCUCAACCUAGGAAGUGCAUUCGAUACUCCGGAGCUCGAGUCCUGGAGAGGAAGGCGGAAUUCUCGGUGUAGAGGUGAAAUUCGUAGAUAUCGAGAGGAACACCGGUGGCGAAGGCGGCCUUCUGGACAGUGACUGACGCUGAGACACGAAAGCGUGGGGAGCAAACAGG
RNAcentral lists this ribosomal RNA (253 nucleotides) under uncultured bacterium. Its description in RNAcentral is "partial 16S ribosomal RNA". It matches the Rfam family "Bacterial small subunit ribosomal RNA", at positions 524 to 776 of the family's 1533-position model. The record is from RNAcentral.